RNAcentral lists this transfer RNA (66 nucleotides) under Succineidae gen. n. sp. z RM-2021. RNAcentral describes it as "tRNA-Glu". Lineage: Eukaryota; Metazoa; Mollusca; Gastropoda; Stylommatophora; Succineidae. The record is from RNAcentral.
GUUUAAGUAGUAUAUAAAAAAUUACAUUAUCCUUUCUAGAUAAAAAAAUUUUAAAAAAUCUUAGAU